Phodopus roborovskii (desert hamster) is the source of this 110-nucleotide small nuclear RNA. NCBI's taxonomy places the organism in Eukaryota, Metazoa, Chordata, Mammalia, Rodentia, Cricetidae. The record is from RefSeq and is a predicted model, not a curated record.
GUGUCUGCUUUGGCAACACAUACACAUAUACUAAAACUGGAUCUAUACAGAGAUUAGCAUGGCCCCUGCACAAGAAUGAUGCAAAAAUUCAUGAAGUGUUAUAUUUUUGA